This is a long non-coding RNA of Ochotona princeps (American pika), 702 nucleotides long. RefSeq lists it as uncharacterized. The transcript has 3 exons. NCBI's taxonomy places the organism in Eukaryota, Metazoa, Chordata, Mammalia, Lagomorpha, Ochotonidae. The record is from RefSeq and is a predicted model, not a curated record.
UUCCUGGGGACCCCAGACCCGUGCCUCCUCUCCCCACUCAACCAGAUCCUGCAUUCCCGGGCAGGAGAGAGAAAACGACCCUGAUUCACUCAAAUGCCUGCCACAGCUGAGGGCUGAAUUGUGCAAAGCCAGGGUUGGGAACUCAAUCUGGCUGUCUCAGAUGGUAAAGUGGAUUGUGGAGUGCAGGCUGCAGCCGUCCUCCUUCAGCCACGUGGUGCUUCAGGGAUGGAAGUCAGGAGGCCUUUCCUGGGAAGGUUUUGCAGCCAGAACUAAGACGAGUGAACCAGCCUCUGGGCUGCUGGAAUAGCGUGUAUGAGGUCUUCAGUGUACCAGCCCCACUUUGGCAGUCGGGGCUUCAGAGAGCAGGGAGCCCCUUUGUAGAGACAAAGGAAAAAGUGAAGCUGAUGUGGGAGGCCAUGGGGAGAGUGUGGUUGAGCUGUUCUUGGUUCUACUGUUUUGAGGCUCACCCUUAGAAAUCUGACUUCCCCAAGUUCUCUUAGCAUAAUCUCCUUUUUUUUUUAAGACCAGUUUGAGAUUUUUGUUCCUUAGUCUUAGUACCAAGUACAAAUUAUCUUAUUUCUAUCUGUUAAUCUUCAAUUAUUUGGAUGUCAAAUAUAAAUCAACAUUAAAGAAAUGCUAAACCGAUAAUGACAAUGAUUUUGCACUGCUUAUAAUGUGCCAGGUACUAUUCUUCAACCAAGU